Molecule: ribosomal RNA, 460 nt
Filed under: uncultured bacterium
Lineage: Bacteria
Description: partial 16S ribosomal RNA
Rfam family: Bacterial small subunit ribosomal RNA
Source: RNAcentral
CCUACGGGUGUCAGCAGUGAGGAAUAUUGGUCAAUGGACGAGAGUCUGAACCAGCCAAGUAGCGUGAAGGAUGACUGCCCUAUGGGUUGUAAACUUCUUUUAUAAAGGAAUAAAAUGAGGCACGUGUGCCUUUUUGUAUGUACUUUAUGAAUAAGGAUCGGCUAAGUCCGUGCCAGCAGCCGCGGUAAUACGGAGGAUCCGAGCGUUAUCCGGAUUUAUUGGGUUUAAAGGGAGCGUAGAUGGGUUGUUAAGUCAGUUGUGAAAGUUUGCGGCUCAACCGUGAAAUUGCAAUUGAUACUGGCAGUCUUGAGUGCAGUGGAGGUAGGCGGAAUUCGUGGUGUAGCGGUGAAAUGCUUAGAUAUCACGAAGAACCCCGAUUGCGAAGGCAGCUUACUAAACUGUGACUGACGUUGAAGCUCGAAGGUGUGGGUAUCGAACAGGAUUAGAUACCCUGGUAGUC